GACGAACGCUGGCGGCGUGGAUUAGGCAUGCAAGUCGAACGGUAUCAUCCUUUCGGGGGUGAGAGAGUGGCGAACUGGUGAGUAACACGUAGGUUAUCUACCCUCAAGACGGGGACAACCCAGGGAAACUUGGGCUAAUACCGGAUGUGAGCAACUUUUAGUUGUUUGAAAGGUGGCGUAAGCUGUCGCUUGGGGAUGAGCCUGCGUCCUAUUAGUUAGUUGGUGAGGUAACGGCUCACCUAGGCAAUGAUAGGUAGGCGGCCUUAACGGGUGGUCGCCCACACUGGGAUUGAGAUACGGCCCAGACUCCUACGGGAGGCAGCAGUCGAGAAUAGUCUACAAUGGUCGGAAGACUGAUAGUGCGACGCCGCGUGAACGAUGAAUCCCUUCGGGGUGUAAAGUUCUUUUAUAUGUGAGCAGUGCUUCUUAUAUUAACAGUAUGGGGAGAGAGAUAUUAGCAUAUGAAUAAGCAACGGCUAACUCCGUGCCAGCAGCCGCGG
This 500-nucleotide ribosomal RNA is filed under the name uncultured bacterium. RNAcentral describes it as "bacterial SSU rRNA". It matches the Rfam family "Bacterial small subunit ribosomal RNA", at positions 28 to 520 of the family's 1533-position model. The record is from RNAcentral.